AGAUACUAAAAUGCCCUGCCAAAUAUCCCUGUCCCACCUGACCAAGGAGAAAGAGUAUCUGCUUCAGGUGUCUGAGUGCAUCAACACCCAUCAUUGUAGGAAAACUCCCACCCAAAAGGAAAGGGAGGGUCCUCACUGCUGACAAGGGAGAAAGCAAGGGUAUAAGAACCUUGUGGUGACUGGCUUUCAUCUUGGCCUUUGUGAAGAAAAGCUUUCAGGACUUUGUGGAGCUAGAUAGUGAGAGGCUCUGAAUAUGGACAGAGGCAGAAAGCACAUCCUUGAUGAGACAACAAGCUGCUUCCCAAAUGCUAAGCCUCAACUCUCAAGCACAGAAGACCUCUGAGCUCUGCAAGGUGCUGAGAGAUACCCCUGUACCAGCUCUCCAUCAUCAGUUUACAAAGCUGAGGGAAGUCUUACCUGAGGGAAAUGCUGCACAGGGACAGCAUCAAGGUAUUGCAAGGAACAAGUGUUUUGCAAACGGAGAUGUGGAAAAACACUGCUGCGGCUGUGAUGUCUGUCCCUCUGAUACGGAUGGCUCUACAAGGGAUGUCCUUGUGCAUGUGUGUGUCUCCAUUGGAGAAGCAAAGGGACAAAAAAACCUCUUUUAUCCUGCACAUGGUGCCUUUUGAUUGCCGACAUAAAGCAAGAACAUCAUCUUCUGGUGUUGGGCCCUUCUGAGUUAUGGAUUUCAACCUCUGCUGAGCUUUCUUGGUAGCACCAAGAACAUUUUGGUGAGGUCAGUGCUCCUGUUGCUGCCGACAGACAUAGGGGUCAUGGAGGUGGUCUUGCAGUGUGCAAAUCAGCCUUAGCGGUGUCUCAUUAAUUUCCACUGCUAAAUAGGAUUGGGGCCUGGGAGUCUGCAGCCUUGGCUCUUCCCUUCUUUGCACCAUGCUGAUCAGGAGCCACUUCACUGGAGUUACUGGUGACACCAACCUAAUAGUCACCCUGAGGGGAAAAUCUGGCCUUGUGAUUACUUUUCCUUAUUGAAUUCUUGAUUACUGGGUCAGGGAAUAUUUUGCAUCCCCAGGACCAGGGUGGUGCAUGGCAGAUCACUUGUGCCCCUCUAUCUGCCAGCCCAACUGAGGGAAGACACUGAAACCCCAAACUAAUUCUGCCUAUCUGGAAGAGCAGCUCCCUGCCAAUGAGAUUAAAAUAUCACUGGCACUACAUGUUCAUCCCUAGCAUAUUUCUUUUCUACCAGAAAAAUAUUCCCCUCUUGCCCUCUCAUCUCCUGGCUUCUCCUUUUUCCAGUCCCAUUACUGCUGGGAACACAGAAGCCCUGGCUGAGCCACCUCUGUGUCCUGCCAUUCCAACUUUGCACCAUUUCUUUGGGAGGUCUUAGCACUGAUUAGAAGUGAUAUAUCUUUGUAAAGGAGUGCCAUGGGGCUGCAAAGAGUCUGGCAUGCUGCAGGGGGGCUGUGGUGGGUGCCACCCAUGGAGGAUGCUGGCAGCACCCCACCAUGCCUGCAUGGAUGGGUGAAGCCUCAUGCAUGGCUACAAGGCUGUUUGGAAACCACAUGAAGUGCAAAAUAAGACCCUUUUCCACUCCCUUCAUGGGCUAGAGACAGACAAGCUGCUUUCUGGUACCCAUCAAGGCUGCCUCGUGCUGGUGCUGUGUGAACCAGAGAUGAACACGUUUUGGGGACAACCUCUGCACAUCAGCGUGACAGAACUGUCAGAGUAGUUUGCAGGAAGAGGAGCUUGGCCAAGGGGUGUUUGAUUUGUGCUAGCAAGAAGCGGAAGGUAUCAGUGCCUUCACAAAACAGAAGAGAGGGCAGCACGUGGGCAACUUGAAAACAUAGGAUUCCAGAGAUAGUCUGAACUGGGAAUUAACUUUUGAAAUCCUUUUUUCCCCUUCAGCCAUUCCCUCACUAACACAUUGACCCCAAAACACUGGCAAUACUCGAAAGGGUUGGCACAGCAGCACUUGAACACAACAAUCUGUUAUUUCAAAUUUAUGCCUUAGAGCAGCAAAGAUUCAGCAAAGCUUUUGAAGCAUCACAUAGACUUUUUCUCAAAUCUCUUUCUUCUGUUGGGAGGCUCUUGGGUGGGAGGGGGAGGCAAUAAUAAGGGUGGCUCACUUAGAUGCCAAGAGAGGCAGAUGCAUCAAUGCAGUUGGCAGAGUUUCUCUCCACUGUAAAAGGAAACUGCCCAAUGGAUGCAACACCAUCAUAGUGGUACAGAACAUCAGCCUUAUAGUGAUUGUGUAUUGUUAUGCGUUAAUAGCAUUAUCCCAAGGGCAGUGUUAAACAUAAAUAUAUGCAAGUAACUUGAGGUGACUCCUGUCACUGUCAGCAGCUGAAGGUAAAAUGUUUUAACCUGCAAGCGUAAGUUUGCAACCCUGGAAAACAGUGACCAGGAUAAUGCUCUGGUAUGCUUCCACAAUGGCAAGGGGGUCAAACAUUCAGAGCGAGAUUCAAAGAUGUAGGUACAACAACCUCAGACAUCAGCUUAAGUUCUCCCCUGGAGUUUCCUAAUGUUAUCUCUCCUGGAUGCUAACCUCAGCCGCUGCAUAUUUGCAUUUCUCUCAGUAUCUAGAGAAGUGGCCUGAGAAGUGAGGGAUGAGGCUGCUCUGUCCCAGAGCUGGACAUCCCAUCCUGCAUCAGUGCCCUCCUGCUCUGCACCACCCUGAUGUUGGUGCCCAACCCGAAAAGAGCCACUCGCCACUGGGCAAGAGGUGAACUUUGCAACAACCCCUUUCCUCUGAGAAGGCUGAAAGAGAUUUACAGCUCAGUUUAACCAAGGCUUUUGCUAUCAGUUGGCAGAACUUGCAGGCCUUUCCUGCCUGGCAGUUGCAGACAGGGAAUUGCUGAUAGCCAGUCUGAAAUCUGUCUCUUGCUCUGAGUCGACUCCAUAGCUACCUUGUCUGGUGCAGUUAUAAGCUCUGAGAGAUUUAUAUAUUUAAAAAAGGGGGAUGGGAGGGAGAAAACAGUUUGGCCUAACCUCAGGGUCCUAUGGGACUGUGAGAGGAAGCAAACUGGAACCCAUUUUCCUAUUUCUUUCUUGACCUUAUCCGCAAGCAGCCAGCCUAUCUGCAAGUGGCAACUGUGGAAAAUGUGCUCUGGCCACUUGGUGUGAAAGAUAGGCAAGACUCCUAAAAAAUCUUCUCCGCAGCUUAUCACCUUUCUGCUGGCUCCGCAGCAAACUAGUGCCCCACUGCAGAAGGAAACUGGCUGUCUGUAAGGCUGGACAGGGCCUCAUCAACAACUGAUAAGCUCCC
Long non-coding RNA from Pezoporus flaviventris, 3220 nucleotides. RefSeq lists it as uncharacterized. The transcript has 3 exons. NCBI's taxonomy places the organism in Eukaryota, Metazoa, Chordata, Aves, Psittaciformes, Psittacidae. The record is from RefSeq and is a predicted model, not a curated record.